UCCAGUCUGCCUUAGCUUGGCCUGCUCCUGUGGACUUUGGGUUUCUUUAUUGAUCUGAAAUUCUUCUCCCGUCAUGUGGUUUUCUUUAUCUGUUCAUGGCUAUAUUUUCCCUUCUUGACCAUGUGGAUUGUUUCCUUCUGCAGCCUCUACUGUUCAAACAGGAGUUUUGUUUUUUGUUUUUUGUUUCUUCUCAUCCGGUUCCAGAGGAGAGGAAUGUGGAUUUCGCACAGACUGAGGAGGGAAACUUGGCGAAGAUCAGGGAAGGCCGAGGGUUCCCAGGAGCCUCCCGUUGGAUCGUGGAAUGACCGCCACUGGCCUUGGGCUCCCCGUCCCGUUCCCAGACUUCUGGCUCAGCUCGGGGGAGCAGGACAGAGGAAGCGGGGUACCUUGUCGGUCCAGGUAGGUCUUGCCGUGUUGCAGGAACCUCCGCAGCAUCGCGGGGCACUCCUCUUCCAGGUAAGCCUUGGCCCGCAGCACGUACACUUCUUCCGCCUCCCACUUCUGCUUGGUGAUCAGAGCGGCGGGGUCCUGGGGGACCCAGGCGGGGAUUUCUUUGUUGAACUCGAUGAAGUUCCUUCCGUCAUAGGCAUACCUCCAGAAUGCUCCGCUGUUUUUGUCAUUCCGCAGCUCACAGCCAAACAUUCCCUGAAAGGUGUGAGACCCUGCACCCUCCCCGGCCACCCCCGGGGAAGUUAGUCAGCUUGGCACGCACUGCACUGUGUUUUAAUAACUUUCAGUGCUACUCAGUUUGCAGAAACAACAGGAAGCAAGGUUUUGGAGAUCUAAGCACGUGGUCCCUAUGUUUUGGCGAAUGAGUUAUGAGCCAGUCAUAGAGCAGAAGACGGAAAGGUGCUUUGGUUUGGUGUUUCAGGCCCCUCUGGGCUAAAAUGCAUCCUUCCUGGCGGGGAGGGUCAGGGAGACCAGACCACAUACCCUGUUCCCAGCUCCCCUGUUCCCGCGGUUAGUGAACUGCGAAUACCCUGGGGGUUCUUAGGAACCCCACAGAACCACACUGAAGUGCCAUCUCCAAGUUAAACAAAUUACUUGGAGUUUAACACAGAUUCCCUAAUCUCUCCUUUUUUUCCUCUGUUCUAAGUGGAGCGGAUGUCACCAAUUGGGUAAACUCUUUCCUGGGGUUUGCUAUCCUCAUCAGGAAUCUCCGAGCCCCCUCUCUGCCCAGGGAGCCACAAGUCUUGGAACCUGGCCUCCUCUGGGAGGGGGGACACGACCGGUGGGGACCUGAUACCGAUUAGCGCUGUGGGCUCAGGCUCUGAUCUCCAGCUCCCUGGGCUCAAACUGCAGAUCUCUCUGAGCGCCGACCUGGCUUGAACGUGAGCAUUUAACCUCCCCCUGCUUUGGUCUUCUCCGCUUGCCAACAGCAGCGGCCAUGUACGGGUUCAGAGGGUUGCUGGGAGCGCUACCAGCCGGCGUCAGCACCCGUGCCCGGCACACAGUAGGUGGGGAUGGGGGUGUCCCGGCUCCCCAUCUUCCUCCUACCAUAAGUCCAUGAGGCCUCCCGAGUCUGUUCCUUACAGUCAGGAAGGUCUUCAGGACUUCAUGUAACUCUAUCAGUGUGUGGCUUUGAAGUCAGUCCCUGCUGAGCUCCCAGUAUGGGCCACGGAUUGUGUGAGGCAUUUUCUCUCAAUCAUUCAAUAUAUUUCACCGGAGCAGGUUAUUCGUGGCCGUCCCAGGUGAUGGGACGAUCAGGGAGACCAAGACCGACGAGGUUCUAGCCUUCAUGCAAUUGGCAGAGCUAAUGACUGGCCGCGACACGAUGCGAACCA
Mustela lutreola (European mink) is the source of this 1784-nucleotide long non-coding RNA. RefSeq lists it as uncharacterized. The record is from RefSeq and is a predicted model, not a curated record. The transcript has 4 exons. NCBI's taxonomy places the organism in Eukaryota, Metazoa, Chordata, Mammalia, Carnivora, Mustelidae.